GGGCCCGCACAAGCGGUGGAGCAUGUGGUUUAAUUCGAUGCAACGCGAAGAACCUUACCUGGUCUUGACAUACACAGAAUCUUGUAGAGAUACGAGAGUGCCUUCGGGAAUUGUGAUACAGGUGCUGCAUGGCUGUCGUCAGCUCGUGUCGUGAGAUGUUGGGUUAAGUCCCGCAACGAGCGCAACCCUUGUCCUUAGUUACCAGCACUUCGGGUGGGAACUCUAAGGAUACUGCCAGUGACAAACUGGAGGAAGGCGGGGACGACGUCAAGUCAUCAUGGCCCUUACGACCAGGGCUACACACGUGCUACAAUGGCGGUGACAAUGGGCAGCGACAGGGCGACCUGAAGCAAAUCCCUAAAAGCCGUCCCAGUUCGGAUUGUACUCUGCAACUCGAGUGCAUGAAGUUGGAAUCGCUAGUAAUCG
RNAcentral lists this ribosomal RNA (426 nucleotides) under uncultured bacterium. RNAcentral's name for it is "bacterial SSU rRNA". It matches the Rfam family "Bacterial small subunit ribosomal RNA", at positions 917 to 1344 of the family's 1533-position model. The record is from RNAcentral.